AAGUUUCUUCGGGGCUGGGUGAAAAUCCCGACCGGCGGUGAUGAAGCAAUGCUUCUUAGUCCGUGACCCGACUCUUAGCAUUAGAGGCGGUGGACCUGGUGAAAAUCCGGGACCGACAGUGAAAGUCUGGAUGGGAGAAGGAACGA
Molecule: non-coding RNA, 146 nt
Filed under: Halalkalibacter okhensis
Lineage: Bacteria; Bacillati; Bacillota; Bacilli; Caryophanales; Bacillaceae
Description: Bacillus okhensis FMN sequence
Rfam family: FMN riboswitch aptamer (RFN element)
About the family: The RFN element is a highly conserved domain that is found frequently in the 5'-untranslated regions of prokaryotic mRNAs that encode for flavin mononucleotide (FMN) biosynthesis and transport proteins.
Source: Rfam by way of RNAcentral